Molecule: ribosomal RNA, 849 nt
Filed under: Corinectria fuckeliana
Lineage: Eukaryota; Fungi; Ascomycota; Sordariomycetes; Hypocreales; Nectriaceae
Description: LSU rRNA
Rfam family: Eukaryotic large subunit ribosomal RNA
Source: RNAcentral
AAGCAUAUCAAUAAGCGGAGGAAAAGAAACCAACAGGGAUUGCCCUAGUAACGGCGAGUGAAGCGGCAACAGCUCAAAUUUGAAAUCUGGCCCCCGGGUCCGAGUUGUAAUUUGUAGAGGAUGCUUUUGGUGCGGUACCUUCCGAGUUCCCUGGAACGGGACGCCAUAGAGGGUGAGAGCCCCGUCUGGUUGGACGCCAAUCCUUUGUAAAGCUCCUUCGACGAGUCGAGUAGUUUGGGAAUGCUGCUCUAAAUGGGAGGUAUAUGUCUUCUAAAGCUAAAUAUUGGCCAGAGACCGAUAGCGCACAAGUAGAGUGAUCGAAAGAUGAAAAGCACUUUGAAAAGAGAGUUAAAAAGUACGUGAAAUUGUUGAAAGGGAAGCGCUCAUGACCAGACUUGGGCCCGGUUGAUCAUCCAGGGUUCUCCCUGGUGCACUCUUCCGGCCCAGGCCAGCAUCAGUUCGCUGUGGGGGAUAAAGGCUUCGGGAAUGUGGCUCCUCCGGGAGUGUUAUAGCCCGCUGCGUAAUACCCUGUGGCGGACUGAGGUUCGCGCAUCUGCAAGGAUGCUGGCGUAAUGGUCAUCAGCGACCCGUCUUGAAACACGGACCAAGGAGUCGUCUUCGUAUGCGAGUGUUCGGGUGUUAAACCCCUACGCGGAAUGAAAGUGAACGCAGGUGAGAGCUUCGGCGCAUCAUCGACCGAUCCUGAUGUUCUCGGAUGGAUUUGAGUAAGAGCAUACGGGGCCGGACCCGAAAGAAGGUGAACUAUGCCUGUAUAGGGUGAAGCCAGAGGAAACUCUGGUGGAGGCUCGCAGCGGUUCUGACGUGCAAAUCGAUCGUCAAAUAUGGGCA